UACAGAGGUCUCAAGCGGUGUUCGGAAUUACUGGGCGUAAAGCGUGCGUAGGCGGCGAGGUAAGUCAGAUGUGAAAUGCCGGGGCUCAACCCCGGAACUGCAUCCGAUACUGCCUUGCUCGAGUAGUGGAGGGGAGUCUGGAAUUCACGGUGUAGCAGUGAAAUGCGUAGAUAUCGUGAGGAACACUAGUGGCGAAGGCGAGACUCUGGACACUUACUGACGCUGAGGCUCGAAGGCCAGGGUAGCGAAAGGG
Molecule: ribosomal RNA, 253 nt
Filed under: uncultured bacterium
Lineage: Bacteria
Description: partial 16S ribosomal RNA
Rfam family: Bacterial small subunit ribosomal RNA
Source: RNAcentral